Molecule: ribosomal RNA, 253 nt
Filed under: uncultured bacterium
Lineage: Bacteria
Description: partial 16S ribosomal RNA
Rfam family: Bacterial small subunit ribosomal RNA
Source: RNAcentral
UACGUAGGGGGCAAGCGUUGUCCGGAAUCAUUGGGCGUAAAGAGCGUGUAGGCGGUUCGGUAAGUCGGCUGUGAAAGUCCAGGGCUCAACCCUGGGAUGCCGGUCGAUACUGCCGGACUAGAGUUCGGAAGAGGCGAGUGGAAUUCCCGGUGUAGCGGUGAAAUGCGCAGAUAUCGAGAGGAACACCUGCGGCGAAGGCGGGUUGCUGGGCUGACACUGACGCUGAGGCGCGAAAGCUAGGGGAGCGAACGGG